This 497-nucleotide ribosomal RNA is filed under the name uncultured bacterium. RNAcentral describes it as "partial 16S ribosomal RNA". It matches the Rfam family "Bacterial small subunit ribosomal RNA", at positions 28 to 507 of the family's 1533-position model. The record is from RNAcentral.
GAUGAACGCUGGCGGCGUGCCUAAUACAUGCAAGUCGAGCGAACGGACGAGAAGCUUGCUUCUCUGAUGUUAGCGGCGGACGGGUGAGUAACACGUGGAUAACCUACCUAUAAGACUGGGAUAACUUCGGGAGACCGUAGCUAAUACCGGAUAAUAUUUUGAACCGCAUGGUUCAAAAGUGAAAGACGGUCUUGCUGUCACUUAUAGAUGGAUCCGCGCUGCAUUAGCUAGUUGGUAAGGUAACGGCUUACCAAGGCAACGAUGCAUAGCCGACCUGAGAGGGUGAUCGGCCACACUGGAACUGAGACACGGUCCAGACUCCUACGGGAGGCAGCAGUAGGGAAUCUUCCGCAAUGGGCGAAAGCCUGACGGAGCAACGCCGCGUGAGUGAUGAAGGUCUUCGGAUCGUAAAACUCUGUUAUUAGGGAAGAACAUAUGUGUAAGUAACUGUGCACAUCUUGACGGUACCUAAUCAGAAAGCCACAGCUAACUACGUG